CUGUUCCCAUGCCGAACACAGAAGUUAAGCUUCUUAGCGCCGAUUGUAGUGAAGGGUUUCCCUUUGUGAGAGUAGGACGUCGCCACGC
Molecule: ribosomal RNA, 88 nt
Filed under: Enterococcus faecalis
Lineage: Bacteria; Bacillati; Bacillota; Bacilli; Lactobacillales; Enterococcaceae
Source: RNAcentral